Molecule: ribosomal RNA, 556 nt
Filed under: uncultured bacterium
Lineage: Bacteria
Description: bacterial SSU rRNA
Rfam family: Bacterial small subunit ribosomal RNA
Source: RNAcentral
AAUAGAUACCCGGGUAGUCCACGCCGUAAACGAUGAGUGCUAAGUGUUGGGGGGUUUCCGCCCCUCAGUGCUGCAGCUAACGCAUUAAGCACUCCGCCUGGGGAGUACGGUCGCAAGACUGAAACUCAAAGGAAUUGACGGGGGCCCGCACAAGCGGUGGAGCAUGUGGUUUAAUUCGAAGCAACGCGAAGAACCUUACCAGGUCUUGACAUCCCGGUGACCACUAUGGAGACAUAGUUUCCCCUUCGGGGGCAACGGUGACAGGUGGUGCAUGGUUGUCGUCAGCUCGUGUCGUGAGAUGUUGGGUUAAGUCCCGCAACGAGCGCAACCCUUAUUCUUAGUUGCCAUCAUUCAGUUGGGCACUCUAAGGAGACUGCCGGUGAUAAACCGGAGGAAGUGGGGAUGACGUCAAAUCAUCAUGCCCCUUAUGACCUGGGCUACACACGUGCUACAAUGGACGGUACAAAACGGUUGCCAACCCGGCGAGGGGGGAGCUAAUCCGGAUAAAAACCGUUCUCAAGUUCGGAUUAUAGGCUGCAACUCGCCUACAUGAACG